GAUGAACGCUAGCGGCAGGCCUAACACAUGCAAGUCGAGGGGUAACAGGGUAGCAAUAUCGCUGACGACCGGCGCACGGGUGAGUAACGCGUAUGCAACCUUCCUUUAACUGGGGGAUAGCCCGGAGAAAUUCGGAUUAAUACCCCAUAGUUCUGUUGGAUCGCAUGGUUUGACAGAUAAAGUUUCGGUGGUAAAGGAUGGGCAUGCGUGACAUUAGCUAGUUGGUGAGGUAACGGCCCACCAAGGCUACGAUGUCUAGGGGUUCUGAGAGGAAGAUCCCCCACACUGGUACUGAGACACGGACCAGACUCCUACGGGAGGCUG
RNAcentral lists this ribosomal RNA (324 nucleotides) under uncultured Bacteroidota bacterium. RNAcentral describes it as "bacterial SSU rRNA". It matches the Rfam family "Bacterial small subunit ribosomal RNA", at positions 28 to 351 of the family's 1533-position model. The record is from RNAcentral. Lineage: Bacteria; Pseudomonadati; Bacteroidota.